RNAcentral lists this small nuclear RNA (309 nucleotides) under Mus caroli (Ryukyu mouse). Its description in RNAcentral is "sRNA (MGP_CAROLIEiJ_G0008910.1)". It matches the Rfam family "7SK RNA". From Rfam's summary of the family: 7SK was discovered as an abundant small nuclear RNA in the mid-70s but a possible function has only recently been suggested. Two independent studies have found that 7SK RNA binds the CDK9/cyclin T complex (known as elongation factor P-TEFb). Lineage: Eukaryota; Metazoa; Chordata; Mammalia; Rodentia; Muridae. The record is from RNAcentral.
GGAUUGAAGGACAACCUGGGUAAGGUGUCUGUCAUCCCAUUGAAUGCUAGGGCUUAUCCAAACAAUCUGGCUAGCUGGGUGUGUAUACCCAUCCUCCCUCACUCCUCCUAUAUGCCAUUACUGAAACUAUGUGCUUGGACAAAGAGUAUGACGUUACCCUACAGAGGAGAAUAUGGUCUUUAAUCAUGAGUAUACUAGCAGCUGUGCUCCCCACACAAAUUCCACACACACACACACUCACGGGGGUACAGGGAGAAAGAGAAAGACAGAGAGCCCAAAUUGAUGGUCUAUGAGACCACUACUGAGUUA